GAGAGAAGCCGGGGGCACUAAGAACUGCUAAUUCUUCAGCACCAUGGUUCAAAUCCAUGGGUCACUCA
RNAcentral lists this transfer RNA (68 nucleotides) under Acipenser brevirostrum (shortnose sturgeon). RNAcentral's name for it is "tRNA-Ser". The record is from RNAcentral. Lineage: Eukaryota; Metazoa; Chordata; Actinopteri; Acipenseriformes; Acipenseridae.